Molecule: long non-coding RNA, 460 nt
Organism: Pristis pectinata (smalltooth sawfish)
Lineage: Eukaryota; Metazoa; Chordata; Chondrichthyes; Rhinopristiformes; Pristidae
Exons: 5
Source: RefSeq, a predicted model, not a curated record
CCGCGAUUCACUGGGAACAGAAUCAGUAGCUUCCGUAAAAGAACCCACAACGCUCAGUCACAGGGAGUCGAUAAGAACAGAAACAGGAGCCUCCGUACAAGGUAGCAAGCCAAGUGAAAUGGGGAGCCAAUGCUGUAAAGGUAAUUCCCGAAAAUCAUCGGUGACGGAAAAUGCCGGAUCCACUUCCAGUCCAAAAAGUAAAUGUCCGAUCCCCUGCUCAAAGGGAAGGAAAGCAGUCCGCAGAGACCCGUCCUGUUGAAAAACAUCCUUCUCCACGAAUUUCAUCGAAGGACGCUGAAAAAGAACCUGAAUCAGAUAUUGGACAACAAUCUCGGGUCGAUACUUCCGAUGUGAUUGUAAAUAUAGAUGGUGGAGAUCAACCGUUGACGUCCCAAGGAGAAAAGGCCGAAUUUUUCGAAAGGACCACCGAAGUGGAUGAAUACACUCUCCGAAAUCAGAA